AUGAUACGCGAGGAACCUUACCUGGGCGUCGAACGUAAGAUGACUGUAGGUGAAAGCUUACAUCUCUUCGGAGCAUUUUACGAGGUGCUGCAUGGUUGUCGUCAGCUCGUGCCGUGAGGUGUCGGGUUAAGUCCCAUAACGAGCGCAACCCCUACCUUUAGUUGCCAUCAGGUUAAGCUGGGGACUCUAAAGGAACUGCCUACGCAAGUAGUGAGGAAGCGGGGAUGACGUCAAAUCAGCACGGCCCUUACGUCCAGGGCUACACACGUGCUACAAUGGCCGAUACAGAGGGCAGCUACCUGGUGACAGGAUGCAAAUCUCCAAAGUCGGUCUCAGUUCGGAUCGGAGUCUGCAACCCGACUCCGUGAAGUUGGAUUCGCUAGUAAUCGCGCAUCAGCCAUGGCGCGGUGAAUACGUUCCCGGGCCUU
This 428-nucleotide ribosomal RNA is filed under the name uncultured Sphingobacteriales bacterium. RNAcentral describes it as "bacterial SSU rRNA". It matches the Rfam family "Bacterial small subunit ribosomal RNA", at positions 954 to 1382 of the family's 1533-position model. Lineage: Bacteria; Pseudomonadati; Bacteroidota; Sphingobacteriia; Sphingobacteriales. The record is from RNAcentral.